Molecule: ribosomal RNA, 537 nt
Filed under: uncultured bacterium
Lineage: Bacteria
Description: bacterial SSU rRNA
Rfam family: Bacterial small subunit ribosomal RNA
Source: RNAcentral
AGCUUGCUUCUCUUGAGAGCGGCGGACGGGUGAGUAAUGCCUAGGAAUCUGCCUGGUAGUGGGGGAUAACGUUCGGAAACGGACGCUAAUACCGCAUACGUCCUACGGGAGAAAGCAGGGGACCUUCGGGCCUUGCGCUAUCAGAUGAGCCUAGGUCGGAUUAGCUAGUUGGUGGGGUAAUGGCUCACCAAGGCGACGAUCCGUAACUGGUCUGAGAGGAUGAUCAGUCACACUGGAACUGAGACACGGUCCAGACUCCUACGGGAGGCAGCAGUGGGGAAUAUUGGACAAUGGGCGAAAGCCUGAUCCAGCCAUGCCGCGUGUGUGAAGAAGGUCUUCGGAUUGUAAAGCACUUUAAGUUGGGAGGAAGGGUUGUAGAUUAAUACUCUGCAAUUUUGACGUUACCGACAGAAUAAGCACCGGCUAACUCUGUGCCAGCAGCCGCGGUAAUACAGAGGGUGCAAGCGUUAAUCGGAAUUACUGGGCGUAAAGCGCGCGUAGGUGGUUUGUUAAGUUGGAUGUGAAAAUCCCCGGGCU